UUACGACCAAUGGGGAGCUCGCGAGAUGCGGGCUGAGAGGGAGCGUAUGCCCGCUCCGACCCUAUGAACCUGAUGCGGGUAAUGCCGUCGAAGGGAGUGCGUAUGUCGCAGCCA
RNAcentral lists this non-coding RNA (114 nucleotides) under Olsenella profusa. Its description in RNAcentral is "TPP sequence". It matches the Rfam family "TPP riboswitch aptamer (THI element)". Rfam says of the family: Vitamin B(1) in its active form thiamin pyrophosphate (TPP) is an essential coenzyme that is synthesised by coupling of pyrimidine and thiazole moieties in bacteria. The previously detected thiamin-regulatory element, thi box was extended, resulting in a new, highly conserved RNA secondary structure, the THI element, which is widely distributed in eubacteria and also occurs in some archaea. The record is from RNAcentral. Lineage: Bacteria; Bacillati; Actinomycetota; Coriobacteriia; Coriobacteriales; Atopobiaceae. RNAcentral also lists the same sequence under 1 other name.